This 229-nucleotide ribosomal RNA is filed under the name uncultured bacterium. RNAcentral's name for it is "partial 16S ribosomal RNA". It matches the Rfam family "Bacterial small subunit ribosomal RNA", at positions 568 to 796 of the family's 1533-position model. The record is from RNAcentral.
UCCGUAGGCGGGCAAUUAAGUCAGAGGUGAAAUCCCACAGCUCAACUGUGGAACUGCCUUUGAUACUGGUUGUCUUGAGUUACAGUGAAGUAGAUAGAAUAUGUAGUGUAGCGGUGAAAUGCAUAGGUAUUACAUAGAAUACCGAUUGCGAAGGCAGUCUACUAACUGUAUACUGACGCUAAUGGACGAAAGCGUGGGGAGCGAACAGGAUUAGAUACCCUGGUAGUCC